AACGGCUGGCGGCGUGCCUAACACAUGCAAGUCGAACGGGGUAAUUCCUUCGGGGAUUACUUAGUGGCGAACGGGUGAGUAACGCGUGAGAAACCUGCCUUUCAGUGGGGGACAACAGUUGGAAACGACUGCUAAUACCGCAUAAUGUAUCGAGGGGGCAUCCCCAUGAUACCAAAGAUUUAUUGCUGAAAGAUGGUCUCGCGUCUGAUUAGCUAGUUGGCGGGGUAACGGCCCACCAAGGCGACGAUCAGUAGCCGGUCUGAGAGGAUGAACGGCCACAUUGGGACUGAGAUACGGCCCAGACUCCUACGGGAGGCAGCAGUGGGGAAUAUUGGGCAAUGGGCGAAAGCCUGACCCAGCAACGCCGCGUGAAGGAAGAAGGUCUUCGGAUUGUAAACUUCUUUUAUAAGGGAAGAAAAAUGACUGUACCUUAUGAAUAAGCCACGGCUAACUACGUG
RNAcentral lists this ribosomal RNA (458 nucleotides) under uncultured bacterium. RNAcentral describes it as "bacterial SSU rRNA". It matches the Rfam family "Bacterial small subunit ribosomal RNA", at positions 35 to 507 of the family's 1533-position model. The record is from RNAcentral.